AAAUGCGAUAAGUAGUGUGAAUUGCAGAAUUCAGUGAAUCAUCGAAUCUUUGAACGCACAUUGCGCCCCUUGGUAUUCCAUGGGGCAUGCCUGUUCGAGCGUCAUUUGUACCCUCAAGCUCUGCUUGGUGUUGGGUGUUUGUCCCGUCUCCGCGCGUGGACUCGCCCCAAAGUGAUUGGCAGCCGGCGUACUGGUCCCGGAGCGCAGCACAUGUCGCGCAAACGAGUGCCUUGGUACGGUGGCGUCCAUAAGCCCCUCUCUCACGCUCUUGACCUCGGAUCAGGUAGGGAUACCCGCUGAACUUAAGC
This 308-nucleotide unclassified non-coding RNA is filed under the name plant metagenome. RNAcentral's name for it is "partial contains 5.8S ribosomal RNA, internal transcribed spacer 2, and large subunit ribosomal RNA". The stretch from base 1 to 104 matches the Rfam family "5.8S ribosomal RNA", at positions 51 to 154 of the family's 154-position model. The record is from RNAcentral.